GAUGAACGCUGGCGGCGUGCCUAAUACAUGCAAGUCGAGCGAACAGACGAGGAGCUUGCUCCUCUGACGUUAGCGGCGGACGGGUGAGUAACACGUGGAUAACCUACCUAUAAGACUGGGAUAACUUCGGGAAACCGGAGCUAAUACCGGAUAAUAUAUUGAACCGCAUGGUUCAAUAGUGAAAGACGGUUUUGCUGUCACUUAUAGAUGGAUCCGCGCCGCAUUAGCUAGUUGGUAAGGUAACGGCUUACCAAGGCAACGAUGCGUAGCCGACCUGAGAGAGUGAUCGGCCACACUGGAACGGAGACACGGUCCAGACUCCUACGAGAGGCAGCAGUAGGGAAUCUUCCGCAAUGGGCGAAAGCUUGACGGAGCAACGCCGCGUGAGUGAUGAAGGUCUUCGGAUCGUAAAACUCUGUUAUUAGGGAAGAACAAAUGUGUAAGUAACUAUGCACGUCUUGACGGUACCUAAUCAGAAAGCCACGGCUAACUACGUG
This 497-nucleotide ribosomal RNA is filed under the name uncultured bacterium. Its description in RNAcentral is "partial 16S ribosomal RNA". It matches the Rfam family "Bacterial small subunit ribosomal RNA", at positions 28 to 507 of the family's 1533-position model. The record is from RNAcentral.